Ornithorhynchus anatinus (platypus) is the source of this 647-nucleotide long non-coding RNA. RefSeq lists it as uncharacterized. The transcript is spliced from 4 exons. The record is from RefSeq and is a predicted model, not a curated record. NCBI's taxonomy places the organism in Eukaryota, Metazoa, Chordata, Mammalia, Monotremata, Ornithorhynchidae.
ACCCUCUUUGGUAUGUUUUUAGACUUCUAGAAAAGAAAUUAACUUUUGACUGACAUGGAGACAAGAAGCGAGACCAUCAUUUCCUCCCCGUCCUGAGAUGCGUGCCCCACACCACCGAGAAAGUGCCAGAAAAAUCACCAACCGGGUCUUGGGAAGAAAGGCCAUGAAAGAGUAAUGAGGAGGAACGAUCCUUCUGGACUCCAAAGGGCUAUUUAUUCCUGGGAUCCAGCACUGAUCUGGGGAAAAGAACUUAAAUAACUUUGGACCGACAUGGAGAGAAGAAGAGAGAACAUCAUUUCCUCCCUGUCCUGAUAUGUGUGUCCCACACCAUCAAGGAAGUGCCGGGCUCCGAGAUGCCCCCAGGUGAGCAGUCCCAGGAUGACCAGACACCCGCCAUCACCAUCCCCGCAGAAGCCGCCGAGCCACGGAAAGGUGGCCGCCCACCACCCCCUUCCCUCCCUCCCCGCCAGAGGCCACCGACAGAGGGCCAGGCCUUCCUCCGGAGCGACUCCGGGUGGCCUCCGCUCUCAGCGUCCAUCCCGUCGGCCAGGGUGUGGCCGGCCCUCCCGUCUUCAUCGUUCGAUCCCCGGUAUUUAUCCAGCACUAACUACGGGCGGAGCCCCGUACUAAGCUCUCGGGAGAGUCCG